This 2308-nucleotide small RNA is filed under the name Histoplasma capsulatum var. duboisii H88. RNAcentral describes it as "Histoplasma capsulatum H88 hypothetical RNA". The record is from RNAcentral. Lineage: Eukaryota; Fungi; Ascomycota; Eurotiomycetes; Onygenales; Ajellomycetaceae.
CAGGACCAUGUUAGGAUUUCCCUCCCCUCGUUCGUGUCCUCUGGAAUCGAUGGUCGUUCUUCCACCAGUGUGUGCCAUUGCUACUACUCACAAUUCCUGUUUGGACGGAAAUACCACCCUACCAGUAGGGCGAAUAUAGGCUGUCUGGGUCCAAUAGCAAAUGGACACUUAUAACCGUCGGAAAUUUACUAUUAUACUAUUCGUAUCCUGCGCUCUCUUGUGUCGCUGGUCUUCUUCGGCUGCGUGUUCAUCUUUAUAUCGAUCAAAUCAUCCUUUCGCUUUCAUGACUUGCAUGGUAAGGUCACCAGAAAAACGCUGUUACGCCUGAUUAUCCCUCAAAUCGUCCAGGAGAGUUGCUUGGAAGUUGGUGCCUGAAAAGGCCCCCAUUAUUACCAACAUUGAUGGGAUUCCCAACGAUCACACAAAGAAUCCUCAUCGGCUCCUUCAUCAAUCCUUCCGACUUGGGACUUAAUUCUACGCAAGACCUGAAUGUGAAGACUCCCAGAGGUCAGACGUGAAGCCAAACAUUGAAUCUCCCUGGGAAAAAGCGCCCGACCCGAUUUCAGCGACUUCGAAAACCUCAGCAUGGAAUUCGCAACAUAAGUGCUAAAUGCCUUCUCCCUCAGCCCUUUUUUUUUUAAUAUGAUUCCGAUCGGUCAUUGGAACCUGUCUGAUUAGACAACCCCUGGAGCUGUCCAAAUGGACCAGGUGCAUUCACCAAUCAUCGCUUUGAAUAGGUUUGGCCUGGCCUAGCAUACUUAUUUUUGGUCUCUAUCAUGGUGUUCGGUUUCUCGCAGUAGCCGCCCAAAAUACAUGUCAGAGAAGAGGCCUUUGGAUGCCAGCCAGUGAACGAAUAUCAGAGGCUAUUGGCACUCAUUAUUACAAUUUAUUAUUUAAUGGCUAGAAUCCUGUGGCUCAUACCAGUUUACCAGGAUAUUUCAAAUCAAUGCGCUGUGUCCUGGAGAGGCUCCCUUCUGGGCGGCGGCAAGAUGAACAACCAUACCUGUCAGCAAGCCGUUGUUUUGGAUGACAGUGGAUGUGUGCUCGUUAGUUGAGAAGUAACGACAUCAAGUGCCCCGUCUUGUCGGCCUUGACAGGGUGGACCGCUUGGCCUAGAGUGGAGUCUUGUUUUGCUCAGAGAGCAGGAAUAUGUGUGCGGUCGUCUGCGUCUCCUUAGCACGGAGAGAGCCUUUUAAUAUUAAAUUCCGAAUAACUUACCCCUCGGAAGUCUAGCGGCGAUUUUCCUUCUGCGGAAGACUUACUUCGUAUAAUUUUCCAAAUUAAUUGCAUGAUUGUGACUGAAUCAGACUGAACCCCUUGUCACGACUUUUCCCUGACGAUCUGAUCCACAUGCCCUAAAAGUAUAAAGUGAUGUGAAACCUGCUUCAUGUGCAGAAAACGGUAACCAUUUCGCCUUCUGAGUUUUGUUGUCGUGGAAGUCCAAAAACUCCUACCCCUCAAUUAUUGUGGAUAUGGGGCUAAAUGCUUUUGAAGCAUCCAACAGAGUUCGCAUGCCCUGAUUUGGCGCAGAUCUAGAUUCUCAUUUUUGUCCGUGCAUUAUUCGACGACCACAUCUUGCGCUGUGGAUCAACAGACUUGAGCUAGAAUAGAUGGAGGUGCUUGGAUCAGUCAAAAUAGCAGCAUGGAAAAUUUUACUCCCUUGGCAUCGCCUCUCUAACCACUUCGGAUGGUAUUAUCUUCUCGCUUAUCGAUCAGAUGAACGGAUAAAACAUAAAAUUUAGGCGAAGAGCGAGGGAAAGGUGCAGAACUCUUAGUUUUUUCGUUCAUAAUUGACUGCCCCACCUUUGCUCAGCAUUCCAUGCCUAUCAUCAUCUCUUAUCGGCGACCUUAUCUCCCCACACUCCGCCCCGUCAAUCGCAUUAUAUCAGCUAUCUCAGCGAGUCGAUUAAGAAUUGUUUCUGACAAGUGCAAAUUUGCCCACUUCCCCUGCUCCAACCUAUAAAAUAUGAAUACAAAGUCUCCACACGCACACACACUCUCUCUCUCCCGAGCCUCAGUCGCUCAAGGCCGCAACGCUACGGCGGGCGUAUGCGCGAAGGUUCCGCGAUCGAUUCUCAUACGCCACUAGUGGGCUAAGUAGAGUUCCGCCAUGCCGCGAUCGACCCUGAUCGGGUACCAAUGAAAGUAGUUCGAAAGCGAAUGUUUGAUUCUUUAUCCUCGCGAGGAGAGACAUAUGCAUACCACCUACUAGUGGUUAUUAAAAAAUCCGGUCCAAAUCCAAUAAUAGCAACGGCAAGAGUUUAAUGAGAACAGUUAGAGGGAGCACAGGAAAAAUAUUCCUUUUUGG